This 865-nucleotide ribosomal RNA is filed under the name uncultured archaeon. RNAcentral's name for it is "bacterial SSU rRNA". It matches the Rfam family "Archaeal small subunit ribosomal RNA", at positions 13 to 884 of the family's 1478-position model. The record is from RNAcentral.
CCUGCCGGACCUGACUGCUAUCGGAUUGAUACUAAGCCAUGCGAGUCAUUGUAGCAAUACAAGGCAGACGGCUCAGUAACGCGUAGUCAACCUAACCUAUGGACGGGAAUAACCUCGGGAAACUGAGAAUAAUGCCCGAUAGAACACUAUAUCUGGAAUGGUUUGUGUUCCAAAUGAUUUAUCGCCGUAGGAUGGGACUGCGGCCUAUCAGUUUGUUGGUGAGGUAAUGGCCCACCAAGACUAUUACAGGUACGGGCUCUGAGAGGAGUAGCCCGGAGAUGGGUACUGGGACACGGACCCAGGCCCUAUGGGGCGCAGCAGGCGAGAAAACUUUGCAAUGUGCGAAAGCACGACAAGGUUAAUCCGAGUGGUUUCUGCUAAAGGAACCUUUUGUCGGUCCUAGAAACACCGAUGAAUAAGGGGUGGGCAAGUUCUGGUGUCAGCCGCCGCGGUAAAACCAGCACCUCAAGUGGUCAGGAUGAUUAUUGGGCCUAAAGCAUCCGUAGCCUGCUUUGUUAGUUUUCGGUUAAAUCUAUACGCUCAACGUAUAGGCUGCCGGGAAUACUGCAAAGCUAGGGAGUGGGAGAGGUAGACGGUACUCGGUAGGAAGGGGUAAAAUCCUUUGAUCUAUUGAUGACCACCUGUGGCGAAGGCGGUCUACCAGAACACGUCCGACGGUGAGGGAUGAAAGCUGGGGGAGCAAACCGGAUUAGAUACCCGGGUAGUCCCAGCCGUAAACCAUGCAAACUCAGUGAUGCAUUGGCUUGUGGCCAAUGCAGUGCUGCAGGGAAGCCGUUAAGUUUGCCGCCUGGGAAGUACGUACGCAAGUAUGAAACUUAAAGGAAUUGGCGGGGGAGCACCACAA